RNAcentral lists this ribosomal RNA (406 nucleotides) under uncultured bacterium. RNAcentral's name for it is "partial 16S ribosomal RNA". It matches the Rfam family "Bacterial small subunit ribosomal RNA", at positions 30 to 526 of the family's 1533-position model. The record is from RNAcentral.
AUUGAACGCUGGCGGCAGGCCUAACACAUGCAAGUCGAGCGAGCGGCGGUCGGGUGAGUAAUGUCUGGGAAACUGCCUGCUGGUGGGGGAAAACUACUGGAUACGGUAGCUAAUACUGCAUAUCAUCAGCUAUGUCCAGAUGGGCUGAGCGAGUAGGUGGGGUAACGGCUCACCUAGGCGACCAUCCCUAGCUGGUCUGAGAGGAUGACCCGCAACACUGGAACUGAGACAAGGUCCAGACUCCUACGGGAGGCAGCAGUGGGGAAUAUUGCACAAUGGGCGCAAGCCUGAUGCAGCCAUGCCGCGUGUGUGAAGAAGGCCUUCGGGUUGUAAAGCACUGUCAGCGGGGAGGCGUUACCCGCAGAAGAAGCACCUGCUAACUCCGUGCCAGCAGCCGCGGUAAUUC